GGCAGAGGGUGCAACCGUUGUUCGGAAUUACUGGGCGUAAAGCGUGUGUAGGCGGCUUAGCAAGUCGGAUGUGAAAGCCCCGGGCUCAACCCGGGAAGUGCACUCGAUACUGCUGAGCUUGAGUGUCGGAGAGGUUGGUGGAAUUCUCGGUGUAGAGGUGAAAUUCGUAGAUAUCGAGAGGAACACCGGUGGCGAAGGCGGUCUGCUGGGGUCGAACUGACGCUGAGGCGCGACAGCGUGGGGAGCAAACAGG
Molecule: ribosomal RNA, 253 nt
Filed under: uncultured bacterium
Lineage: Bacteria
Description: partial 16S ribosomal RNA
Rfam family: Bacterial small subunit ribosomal RNA
Source: RNAcentral